GAUGAACGCUGGCGGCGUGCCUAAUACAUGCAAGUCGAGCGAACAGACGAGGAGCUUGCUCCGCUGACGUGAGCGGCGGACGGGUGAGUAACACGUGGAUAACCUACCUAUAAGACUGGGAUAACUUCGGGAAACCGGAGCUAAUACCGGAGAAGAUAUUGAACCGCAUGGUGCAAUAGUGAAAGACGGUUUUGCGGUCACUUAUAGAUGGAUCCGCGCCGCAUGAGCUGGUUGGUAAGGUAACGGCUUACCAAGGCAACGAUGCGUAGCCGAACUGAGAGAGUGAUCGGCCACACUGGAACUGAGCCACGGACCAGACGCCUGCGGGAGGCCGCAGUAGGGAACCGUCCGCAAUGGGCGAAAGCAUGACGGAGUAACGGCGCGCGAGUGAUGAAGGUCUUCGGAUCGUAAAACUCUGUUAUUAGGGAAGAACCGAUGUGUAAGUAACUAUGCACGUAUUGACGGUACCUAAUCAGAAAGCAACGGCUAACUACGUG
RNAcentral lists this ribosomal RNA (497 nucleotides) under uncultured bacterium. Its description in RNAcentral is "partial 16S ribosomal RNA". It matches the Rfam family "Bacterial small subunit ribosomal RNA", at positions 28 to 507 of the family's 1533-position model. The record is from RNAcentral.